This 503-nucleotide ribosomal RNA is filed under the name uncultured bacterium. Its description in RNAcentral is "bacterial SSU rRNA". It matches the Rfam family "Bacterial small subunit ribosomal RNA", at positions 25 to 518 of the family's 1533-position model. The record is from RNAcentral.
CAGGAUGAACGCUAGCUACAGGCUUAACACAUGCAAGUCGAGGGGCAGCAUUGGAGUAGCAAUACUUCAGAUGGCGACCGGCGCACGGGUGAGUAACACGUAUCCAACCUGCCGCUUACUCGGGGAUAGCCUUUCGAAAGAAAGAUUAAUACCCGAUGGUAUAAAGAGUUCGCAUGUUCUCUUUAUUAAAGAAUUUCGGUAAGCGAUGGGGAUGCGUUCCAUUAGAUAGUUGGCGGGGUAACGGCCCACCAAGUCUACGAUGGAUAGGGGUUCUGAGAGGAAGGUCCCCCACAUUGGAACUGAGACACGGUCCAAACUCCUACGGGAGGCAGCAGUGAGGAAUAUUGGUCAAUGGACGAGAGUCUGAACCAGCCAAAAGUAGCGUGAAGGAUGACUGCCCUAUGGGUUGUAAACUUCUUUUAUAAGGGAAUAAAGUGAGGGACGUGUCCCUUUUUGUAUGUACCUUAUGAAUAAGGAUCGGCUAACUCCGUGCCAGCCGCCGC